Lathyrus oleraceus (garden pea) is the source of this 1982-nucleotide long non-coding RNA. RefSeq lists it as uncharacterized. The transcript is spliced from 3 exons. The record is from RefSeq and is a predicted model, not a curated record. Lineage: Eukaryota; Viridiplantae; Streptophyta; Magnoliopsida; Fabales; Fabaceae.
UGUUCACGAAAGUGAUUAUUUCCACAAACUGGUUUUCUGCAAGAUGACACAUCUGAAGAUGCUCACUUCAUACGUUUAAUCGCGUUCUCAAAUGGCUUCUCAUUGCGAUCUGGCUUUCUCGCCCGCGUUUCCCCCAUCGAUCGCGGUAUUGAGUUCUGGAAUCGAUUUCUCCAUGAGCGUCGUACUUCAACAUAAUCAUUGCCUUUCCUCCUGUCGAAUUCGUGUUCCGAAGUUCAACGCCGUCGUGGAUUUGCAUCCCGGACGCAGUAGCGUCGUUCAAUCACCACUGCAUUUCAGACUUGAACCCGAGUUGCUUCUUCAAUGAUUUCCACAUUCAGCUAAAGGAUAGUUUCGUCGGCACAAUAUCCCAACGAGAACUAACAAGCAAAAAGAAACGGAGUGUGGCGAUAAAUACUCACCAGAUUCGUGACACGGUCUGAAGAGGUUUGUGCGAACAAGUGAUUUGUGUUAAGCACUGUGAGUGACCUAGUUCAAGCACAAUUGGAGGUUCAAGGUGAAGCUCCAAUGGCUUCUUAAUGGAGCUUUUACGCAAGGUUGAGGGAGAGAGGAAUGAAAUAGAGUUCGAGAAAAUUUCAGAAAUGAUAGUGAUAAAAAAAUCCCCAAAUGAUUGCAGUGGUUACUCUUAUAUAGUGUUUGUGGGAUACACCCGAAUCGAGCAGAUCGUGCAGUGACAGUUAGGGCAGGUUAUUCUGUUAGGAUGUGUAGGUUGACAUUGCCGUUUUGGCGGCAUCGUGGAAGGUGCUUGCUGAUGGCUUCGAAAAACGGUGUCUGUGUUUGAAAUUAUGUCGCUUAAUUAACUGAGUUGAAAUUAGUCAUGAUGCAGUUAGUAUACUAUAACUUAUUCUGUUAUGAGUUAAUUGUGAAUUCGGUUAGUGUUAAUUUGAGAGCUUAAAAAAUAGUUAAUCAGUUCUGGUUCAGUUAGAGAUGUGAGUUAAAUGAGAGUGGAAUGAGUUGGUUAGAGGUUAUGAUACUUUGUUAAAAUGAAAUUUAAAUUCCUCCCAAAUGCCACUGAGAUUAGUUUGUUACGAAUUCACAAGUUAUUUAAUGAAAUAAAAUCUAUUCUUCAUUUGCAAUGCUUGAAGUUUUUUGAAUGAAAUGGUUAAGGAUUACAACGAGUUGUUUGGACUGUUUGGCUUAUCAUGGUGAUGAUAUUGUGAAUUAGGAGCCAUUGUUAGAAAAAUUCAUGAAUCUGCUAUCAGGACAGGAUGCGACAUUAGUAUAAAUACUAGGUUUAGUCAUGAAGUUAAUUGCACUUAAGCCGAAUCUCAUGCCGCCUUACCACAUUUUGUUUAUUUUGUCUAGCAUGCUUUGAAAAUGCUUGAAUUGAACUGCCAAUGAAUCGAUGUCGGCGUCGUGCUUGAUUUUUCUUACGGAAUAUGAGUGUGAACUUGUUAUGCUAGCAUGUUUGAUCGGUUCCCUUCUAUUGUAUGUGUGCAUGAUUGUGUAUCUUGGUGUAUGACUAGAGUUUGGCACUUAGAAACUUAACAAUCAUUUCCAACAUCUUUGUGCAACAGAUUGUAUAGUGAGCAGCUUUCAUGACGACCGGUUGAUGGCUAAGGCGACCAACGCCGACAGACCUAGAGCGGAUUUGUUGGCCGAGCCUUUUAUGCUUCUCAACUUAUCAAGGCAGCAAUCGAGACUUCUUUAAAGUACACAAGAAAACCGAUUUUCCAGCUGCUUCAUGGGACAUUCUGAACGGCAUACCUUCAUAGACAGGAUAGUCAGCAAGUGUUAUCGUGUAGCUUCGAAAUCAAUGGUUAAUUGAAAUUGGUUAGCUAUGAGAGUUUGCUAUGUGUUAGCAACUAAUAAUGCUUAACUUUAAAAUGCACUGCAUGUUAUUUUUACUGUACUUAAUUAGUUAUGUGGUACAUGUUUUCCACAGCUAACCUAUUAAGCUUGUUAAUUUGUAAAUGUGUUAUUGUUGUGAAGUUGUAAUCUCAAUAGUUUGUGUUAGAAGUUUA